CGGAGGGUGCAAGCGUUAUCCGGAUUCACUGGGUUUAAAGGGUGCGUAGGUGGGCAAGUAAGUCAGUGGUGAAAUCUCCGGGCUUAACCCGGAAACUGCCAUUGAUACUAUUUGUCUUGAAUACUGUGGAGGUCAGCGGAAUAUGUCAUGUAGCGGUGAAAUGCUUAGAUAUGACAUAGAACACCAAUUGCGAAGGCAGCUGGCUACACAAAUAUUGACACUGAGGCACGAAAGCGUGGGGAUCAAACAGGAUUAGAUGCCCUGGUAGUCCACGCCCUAAACUAUGGAUACUCGACAUUUGCGAUAAACUGCAAGUGUCUGAGCGAAAGCAUUAAGUAUCCCACCUGGGAAGUACGAUCGCAAGAUUG
RNAcentral lists this ribosomal RNA (368 nucleotides) under uncultured organism. Its description in RNAcentral is "bacterial SSU rRNA". It matches the Rfam family "Bacterial small subunit ribosomal RNA", at positions 526 to 896 of the family's 1533-position model. The record is from RNAcentral.